GCGUGAGUGACGAAGGCCUUAGGGUUGUAAAGCUCUUUCGGCGGGGAAGAUAAUGACGGUACCCGCAGAAGAAGCCCCGGCUAACUUCGUGCCAGCAGCCGCGGUAAUACGAAGGGGGCUAGCGUUGUUCGGAAUCACUGGGCGUAAAGCGCACGUAGGCGGAUCUUUAAGUCAGGGGUGAAAUCCCGGGGCUCAACCUCGGAACUGCCCUUGAUACUACUGGUCUCGAGUCCGGAAGAGGUGAGUGGAAUUCCUAGUGUAGAGGUGAAAUUCGU
RNAcentral lists this ribosomal RNA (275 nucleotides) under uncultured bacterium. Its description in RNAcentral is "partial 16S ribosomal RNA". It matches the Rfam family "Bacterial small subunit ribosomal RNA", at positions 399 to 691 of the family's 1533-position model. The record is from RNAcentral.